This is an RNA transcript of Rhincodon typus (whale shark), 2018 nucleotides long. It is a transcript of the gene named STAM-binding protein-like, with no coding region annotated. Lineage: Eukaryota; Metazoa; Chordata; Chondrichthyes; Orectolobiformes; Rhincodontidae. The record is from RefSeq and is a predicted model, not a curated record. The transcript is spliced from 11 exons.
AACCUGAGCCGUAAGCUUUCCUGCUCCUCUGAUGCUGCCUGGCCUAUUGUGUUCCUCCAGCUCCACACUGUUAUCUCUGACUCCAGCAUCAGCAACAUCGUAACAACCAGGUUCCUCCCCUCGAGAUCAAAACCCACUCCCUGACAACUGGACUCAUCCCCUAGCAACCUUACGCCACCCCGUGACAUCAAGACCUGGAACCAGUUUGCUGUCAAUCAAGCCUACUGUGCUUCAGUUUCGGAGAUUUACCCUCCAUCUCCUCACUUCCCCAUCCGCCAUUUGGCAAUCUCCUUGAUGCCCUCUUCAUCUGUUGCUUCUCGUUCUUAUCCUUUUCUUUGCAUUCUCGACCGUGAAACCGAUGCUCAAUCAGUCAAAGUUACUCUCUCAUGGCAUCUUUACCACAAGUCCUUUAUACAUCCUACUGUUACCCACAUCCACCUGCCUAAACUGAUAGGUAACAAGUUGAUGAACUGAGUUGAGUGCUGUCUCAGUUUUGGACAAAGUGACGACAUUUGAAGAUAUCCCAGCUGAUUUAAAAGCAACCAAUAUGGAAAUAGUAGACAAAGAGCAGACAGUGAGCAAUGCCAGAACACUCUGAUGUCAGCUUGUCUCCCGAGGAACGUGUACGGGCUCUCACCAAGAAGGGCAGCUCAGUGGACGUAAACGAUGAUGUCCCUCCACGAAGAUACUUCCGUUCCGGAGUCGAAAUCAUUCGCAUGGCUUCAGUUUACGUAGAUGAAGGCAACUUGGAAAGUGCAUUUGUUCUCUACAACAAGUAUAUCACGCUAUUCUUGGAAAAGCUACCAAAGCAUCGGGAUUAUAAAACCAGCGUAAUACCGGAGAAGAGAGAAACCAUCAAAAAGCUGAAAGAGAUUGCAUUUCCAAGAGCUGAGCAGCUGAAGAGCGAGCUUCUCCAGAGGUACGCUGUCGAAUAUGCUGAGCAUCAGGAGCUACAGCGUAGGGAGGCUGAGAAGUUUGCCCAGGAGCUGGCCCGGCAGCAGGAGUUGGAAGACGAAAAGCAGCGGGUGGCACGGAUGCGCCAGCAGCAAGCGGAACAGGAACAGUUCCAUGCCUUCGAGGAGAUGAUCAGACGCAAGGAGCUGGAGAAAGAGAGGCUGAAGGUGCUGGAGGAGUACGCGAAACCUGAAAACUCCCCCCUAUCCAAAGACUUCCCCCUGAUACCAGGUGUUCAGGGACCACCGGAUAAUCUUCCUCCUGCUUCACCCACUGCGGCUCUCCCAAAUGUAGUCCCACCUGUCGUAGAUCGCUCAAAGAAACCUACAACAUUUGGAACCAAUUGGAACAAUUUUUCGGCAGACAGACUACGGAAUGUGGUGGUACCCAAGAGCCUAUGUCAGCAAUUUCUCCAACUUGCUGAGGCCAACACUGCCCGAGGAGUGGAGACCUGUGGCAUUCUCUGCGGCAAACUGAUGCAGAAUGAGUUCACUAUAACCCAUGUGCUGGUGCCUAAACAGACUGCAGGUCCUGAUUACUGUAACACGGAGAAUGAAGAGGAACUCUUCCUGAUUCAGGACCGAGAUGACCUCAUAACCUUGGGCUGGAUCCAUACUCAUCCCACCCAGACUGCAUUCCUGUCCAGUGUGGACCUUCAUACCCACAGCUCCUAUCAGAUCAUGCUUCCAGAGGCCAUAGCUAUUGUUUGUUCACCCAAAUAUCAUGAGACUGGCUUUUUCAGACUGACUGACCACGGCAUGGAUGAAAUCUCUUUCUGUAAGCAGAAAGGCUUUCAUCCACAUCCCAAGGAUCCACCCCUGUUUAAUUGUCAGCUCACUGCAGUCGUCAAUACUCAGGAGAACACUCUGGAAAAACUCUCUGUCAAGUAGCUUCCUGUUGGAAAGAUGACUGUUGAUUUUUGACUGCUAUCUGCCAGUUUUCUCAUAAGUUGCAUUGCAUGUUCACAUGUUUCUGUAAUAGAGACAAAUGUUACAGUGCUGGACCUUCGGUGAUCGAUGCCUUGUCUCCUGACCAUCCUUGGUUUCCAUAGAAACCACUAACCA